UACGUAGGGGGCGAGCGUUGUCCGAAGUUACUGGGCGUAAAGCGCGCGUAGGCGGGUUGGCAAGUCUGCUGUGAAAGCCCGGGGCUUAACUCCGGAGGGUCGGUGGAUACUGCCAGUCUUGAAGGUGCUAGGGAGAGAUGGAAUUACAGGUGUAGCGGUGAAAUGCGUAGAUAUCUGUAGGAACACCAGUGGCGAAGGCGGUCUCUUGGGGCAUUCUUGACGCUGAGGCGCGAAAGCUGGGGGAGCGAACGGGAUUAGAUACCCCGGUAGUCCCAGCCCUAAACGAUGGAUACUAGGUGUCGGGGGUAUCGACCCCUCCGGUGCCGCCGCUAACGCAGUAAGUAUCCCGCCUGGGGAGUACGGCCGCAAGGUUGAA
RNAcentral lists this ribosomal RNA (376 nucleotides) under uncultured bacterium. RNAcentral describes it as "bacterial SSU rRNA". It matches the Rfam family "Bacterial small subunit ribosomal RNA", at positions 524 to 898 of the family's 1533-position model. The record is from RNAcentral.